CAACAAUCUACAUCGAAGACAGAAUUGAAAGUCGUUGGCCAACUGCAGUCAACUGUCAAAAUUCUUGACUCUGUCAGCAAGUGACAUAAACCACUCCAGAGGGUCAGGUUAUCUCUAUGUGUUUUCUGUCUGUCUCUGUCUCUCUGUCUGUCUCUGGGUCUGUCUGUCUCUGGUGCCCUUAAUCUUUCCCUGUUUUUCUAUCCUGUCUCAGAAUCUACAUAAACUCUAUCUGUUAAUCCAGCACACUGAAUUUUCAACAGGAAUUUUGAGAAGACAUGGACGUGUAAUAACUUCCCCUCCUCCUCUUCCUCUUCUUCUUCCUUCUCUAGCUUUGGACUGAAGCUGGAUCCUGGUACAGGCAAGCACCACUUAAGGUUUUUGCACGGAACUUUCUUCAGUCGGGCAUACCAGCAUCUGUCCAUCUCUGUUUGACCUUCCAUCUGCAAAGACUCUUAGAAAAACAUCAGUAAUCUGUUCUUGGACCACUGCAGUCAAGGGCAUAGUUUAUACUUCACAUGUCACUCUGGUCUCUUAGAGAAGACAAUUCAUUUCUUAUUUGUUUGUUUUGGUUUUUGCGACAGCAUCUCUCUACAUAGCCAGGCUAGUCCCAACUGUUGACUUGGGACCCAGAACAACAGAACUGCACACAUGUUUGGGUAAUAGUCUUGCAGAUCAAGCUUGAAAAAGUUUCUAGGCUGCCUGCCCAUUUUCUUUUCCUCUUAAAAAAUAGUUCUGAUUUUUUGUUUUAGUUUUUCUGAAUUAUGCUUGUUUGGGACUGAGCCACUCAAACAUUUACAGGGGUAUUUAAAAUGUCUCGGGGGUUUAGUUAUAAUAAAUUAAAGCUUUUACAAGAACUCAUGUAAAAUGUUUACAUAAACUGUGCAUCCAUUUCUCUUAAGUAAAUUGGGAUUGAUGGGGCAUAUAAUAAACGUUUUAUUAACUUUGCCAUAAA
Long non-coding RNA from Mus musculus (house mouse), 952 nucleotides. RefSeq annotates it as predicted gene, 52694. The transcript has 2 exons. The record is from RefSeq and is a predicted model, not a curated record. Lineage: Eukaryota; Metazoa; Chordata; Mammalia; Rodentia; Muridae.